UGUAGGGUUAAGUAUCUGUUCUAGGCUGAGAAAGACAGAUUUUAUCUCCCUGAUUUUCCAUUAACUAGCUCUAGACCUUGGACAAAUCAAUAACUGUCUAAACACCAUUUCACUUUUUUGCCACGUGAGAAAAAUAGUACCUUCCACAUACAGUAAUUGUGAGGCUUACAAUGACACUCCACAUAAAGCAUUUAUAGUGUCUGGUGAAUGGCAAUACCUUAAUACAGUAUAAUUAUUAUGUUCUAUUUCCACCUAUAUCUUUUUUUUCCCCUUUAUUCCUCUCCCCACUCUGCUUUUUCUCAUCUUUUUAUUUCUGUCCUAUCUGUCCCCUUUUUCUUUUAUGCUUCUUCCUUGCCCUGGCUUUCUGUUAUCCUCUGCCAUCAUAUGUCCAAGCAUUUCUUCUUUUCCUGUGUGAGGCAUCAAUGAGCCACGUAUAUGGGCUUCACCCCUUUCAAAAAGGCCAAGUAGCAGCUGUACUCCAAUCUGAUGACCUAGCCUGUUCAUCACAAAUGGGAGGCAUGUGCUUCAAAAAUGCCAUUUUAGGAAGGGGCACUGAGACUCAUUUUUUGGAUGUUUGAAGUCCAAGAUCAGGAUGCCAGCAUGGUUGAGGGCCCUCUUCAGGGAUAGUCCAUAGUAAUUAUUUUAUGCAUGAGGAACCUGAGGCCCAGAGAAGUCACGUAGCUUACCAAAGGUCAUACAAGUAGUACCAGGCAAAACUGAUCAAACCCCUAUGGUGUCAUGGAACUGUGAUGGGUAACAGGCAUAAAAGAAGUGAACAGAACAUGUCUGGUUCUUGCCCUCCUCAAGAUUAUGGUCAUUGUUAACCAAACACACUUCAAUAUAGGGACUCCAUUUUAUUUCUUCACUCUUUACUCACCAUGAAGCAAGUAACAUAACCCUUCCCAGGCUCCCAGCCUUUCCUGCUUUCUCCCCUCACCCCCUUGUGUGUGUGUGUGUGUGUGUGUGUGUGUGUGUGUGUACAUUGGUCCUCCAGCCAACCAGUGGAGAGUUGAUCAGGGUAAAUGUGAGGCAGGAUAGUAAGAAGCUAGAAAAAUUCCUUGGCAAGCAAUAUGGGGAAACAGGCAGCUGAAUACACUGGCUGAAGAAUUUACAGCCAGAUACAGAAGGUCACGUCCCUAGAGAUAACAUCUAGGCCUCAGUUAUAUUUCAGCCCCAGGCCCAGAAAAGCAGCCAAACCAGGUGGACGGUGCCAGGACAGAGCGGCUGCAAUGGUGCUGACCAAUCAGGGGAGACCGCAACCCUAAAGGUCACCUCUGGAAAACUGAUGAAUAUUCUGCUGAAACCCUCUGCUGAGACCUCGACCUCCUCUAGAAUUCCCACUACCUUGCAAAAGAGAGAUAAAAGCCCUCAAGACAAAGGACUCUAACCUUUCCCCUCCCCCCUCAUCCUCUCCCACAAGUGUGUAUCUCUCUUUUUUAAAAUUUUCUUUAUUAAGGUAUUACAUAUGUGUCCUUAUGCCCCUUCCCCAAGUGUGCAUCUCUUACACUUUAAGGGACCCCUUUUACAACUAGAACAAUGGGCAGUGGCAGCUGGUCCCUAGCGAACCCCUAAAACCUGCCCCCAACGUCCCUUUUCUGACUUCCCAGUGAGCUACAGCAGCCCCUCCUCCGCUCAUUUUCUUUGCUGUAACAUUUCUAGACAAAGCAGCCCCACCUCGCCACUCCUCUGUUGCUUCUUCUAUCCUACACCCUUCCUUGUUUCACUCUCCCCAACUUCAAUAAACUUCCUCUCAGCAUCUCCAGGUCUGGUGUUGUGAAAUUUUCCCUCAGAAAGUCGAGAACCCACACGUUACCAGCAGCGCUAGCACACCUUGUCUGGGCCAGGUCCCCUUUCAGGUAAGAAAUGGUGCCCAUUAACGGGGUUUCCUGGUCUGGGGGGCUGGGGUAGGGACAGGUGACCUGUGGGAGACAGGCAUAGAAGUUUCUUUCAGCAAUGUGGGCGAGAAUAGGCCCCUUUGCUAACCUGACCAGCUCGGGGAAGGCUGCAUGGCAGGCUCACAAACUCAGACCUAAGAGAAACCUAAAGGGUGGUCUGAAAUUAAAAUUUUUUAAAACUAAAAGCAGCUUAUGGUGGGUAGUCAUGUCCUAGGCUGGUAUCUUCCCUGGCAAAGGCCAAUCUUUACCUUAACUGAGUCUGUCUACAGCCUUUUUGCAUCUACACUAGCAUAUUUCUGGAUUGUGAAAGUACUUUUCCUUUUCUCCGGACCCCUCAAUGCACAGGCACUACUCUUGCCGAGACCACAAAUCCCCUCAUUGUUACUGAGUUAAUGGUUGACUGUUAACUAUCCUGCAGCCACCUAGUGAAAGAAGUACGUGCCUAUCAUUUUACUUUUUAUCCACUCCCAGAGGUCUCCUGGCUUUGCUUUCUUCCACCUCCCUAAUAUAUGGCCAGUGGAUUUCAUGUCACCCAGUUACAUCUUCUCUUUUGAUUGUACUGU
Molecule: long non-coding RNA, 2458 nt
Organism: Pipistrellus kuhlii (Kuhl's pipistrelle)
Lineage: Eukaryota; Metazoa; Chordata; Mammalia; Chiroptera; Vespertilionidae
Exons: 2
Source: RefSeq, a predicted model, not a curated record